This is a non-coding RNA of Prunus mume (Japanese apricot), 915 nucleotides long. The record is from RefSeq and is a predicted model, not a curated record. Lineage: Eukaryota; Viridiplantae; Streptophyta; Magnoliopsida; Rosales; Rosaceae.
ACAAAUUUUACCAAAAUAUUCUGAUAUUCUUUUUUCUUGGAAUCUCUGUUAAUAGAGAACUUUAAAUUUGCAUGCAGCAUAAUAGAUCUUUCCUACAAUAACUUUUCAGAGAACUCUGUCCCAACAUGUCAAGACAACUUGUAAGAUUAAAUCUUUUUUUUUUUUUUCCUUUUCUGUCUUCUUCUUUUCAUUUACUUUUGCUUGAGACUUACAUAUUUUGCACUCUUUGGCUAUCUAAAUAUGUGAAAGUAACUAGGUUGUUUUCAUCAGUAAUGUGUUCAAAAGUUUUUCCAGGCAGAACAACUCGAUUCUUAGCCAUUGCCUCAAUCCAUGUUCAAAAGUUCUGUUCAUGGAAGAUUUCCCUAUGAGGUACUAAGACCUGACCAUGUCCUAAGGACUCUGCUGCUGAGCCUGCCGUAUCGAAAACUCUUAAGCUGCAAGUUACAUAUAAGUUGAUGGUAACUAAAAAAAUCUGCUUCAAGAUUUAAUUUCUCUGAUGAUGUUCUGGCUUAACAAUAUGAAACAGAUUUUCUCAAAUGGGGACGGGUCCAUGUGGCAAAAACUCUUAGCAAGCUUGGAUUGAAGGACUGUUUUGAAGGAGUUAUAUGUUUUGAGACUCUGAAUCCCAUCAGUGAUAAUGAAGACUCAAAGUCCACAAGCUGCAGAAAGGUCAGCUUCGGCUUUUAUGAACUUGCUGCUGGCAGCACUGAAAAUUGUGGCAGAGUACUACCCAGGAUGGCUAUUCAUGCCUUCAUUUUACAUGUCUUUCUAACUAGUAUUUUGCAAGUCAUGUCCUAGAGUAGCAUUUUGUUUGAAAUUAGCAUUCUCUCUUCAUUUUAUUAUGUAUUUUUGUUGCUAGUAUUUUGCUUAUAGACAAGUAUGGAUCAUAUGUGGGGUUGGAAAAUUUGUGAUUUA